UCCUGGUUAGCUCAGUUAGUAGAGCGCUCCACUGGGGAUAAAGAGAUCCGUGUUUCGAAAACCGGACCAGGCG
This 73-nucleotide transfer RNA is filed under the name Ixodes scapularis (black-legged tick). It matches the Rfam family "tRNA". Rfam says of the family: Transfer RNA (tRNA) molecules are approximately 80 nucleotides in length. The record is from Rfam by way of RNAcentral. Lineage: Eukaryota; Metazoa; Arthropoda; Arachnida; Ixodida; Ixodidae.